Molecule: long non-coding RNA, 707 nt
Organism: Clupea harengus (Atlantic herring)
Lineage: Eukaryota; Metazoa; Chordata; Actinopteri; Clupeiformes; Clupeidae
Source: Ensembl
AGACGUUGUGUGCGUGCAUUACGGUGUCUGUAACCACACCCCUUCUCCUGUUGAGGUGCUUUCCUGAUUUGCCGGCCCUGUAUUCCUAGCCUUCCCUCUGACGCUCGCCUUCGGUAUGUCCUUGUCCCUGCAUGUUCAGUGAGGAACCGUACUUCGCCGCUGACCUCGUCGUUCCUGUGAUAACCGUCUGAUAACUGCCUGAUCACAAAGGUGCUGCUGUUUUGUUUAAGCCUGACAAUGCGUGUGUGAUUCAGCAUGCUCGUGACUCUGCCAAACUGUUGUUGUGCAUGCUGGUCUGACAUAUAUCUGAGCUGGGUUUUCGUUUUCUUUGUUAUGUUCUUUUUGUCUGAGCAUUGCACCAUCUUGUCCACUCCAAUGGAGUAAUGCUUCUGUCUAGUGUGUUUUCUGUCUGCAUGUGACUGGGCAUAAGGCUGGUGGCGCUGUAGCUGUCCUGGUGCAUGCUUGUUGUUUGUUCUGGUCUGUAGUUAGCCUCGAUACAUGAUUGCUAUUACUGUCUGAGUGUUUCAUGCUUAGGAUGGACUGUUGAUAUCCCCUGGUGCAAUAAUUGUUUUCAUUUUGUUUGUUAAGCAGUUGCUAGGUGCUUCCAGAGGGAGGCUAGGCACCUGGUGGUGGGCCCCUGUCACUGCAUGCGGGUGUAUCAAGCUGGUUAGUGUGCUGUGGGUGUGCCGUGAUUGUGCUGUGUGUGC